GUAUAAUUUAUCUCAGGGUCGAUUCCUCCCAAAGAGUACCAUUAUAGUUGCACCUUUUGCUGCUGACCCUAUGGUUGGGUCUAUAAAUGUCUAAAAUUUACACUCGAAAUUUCCAUUUACAAAAUCCAUCAACAUUAGUUCAAUCACGUGAGAUGCCCUAAAAUCUAUAGCUAAUUUUAAUAGGCAAUUCCAGCUUUUAAUUUAUGCGCGCAGGGGGUGACGGGAAGUAAGGUAUCAUAUUGCUUAUUAUGCUGAAAAAUUUCAAUAAAAACUGUCGAAACAACAGAAAUAUUUCGAUAUUUACAAGCAUAAGCUAUCACACCGUGUUUACACGGCCACCAUUUAUAUUUGUUUCAACAUAAUCAGCAAUAUGAUUCCUUAUACUUCCCAUUCCCCCAUACACGCAUAAACUAAAAGCUGGAAUUGCCUAUUAGGCUAUUACAUAGGCGUACGAAACAGGGGGCAACUGCCACCCCCACAAUUUUGGAAAACCAUGGAAUUUCGGGCAAAUGCUAGGAGAAAUCAAGAAAAUUCGGGCAGAUUUAUAACAAAGUCAGUUAAAUUUAGGUAAUUUGAUUGCAAUUCUCCAUACAAG
Molecule: non-coding RNA, 595 nt
Organism: Paramuricea clavata
Lineage: Eukaryota; Metazoa; Cnidaria; Anthozoa; Malacalcyonacea; Plexauridae
Source: the annotation of a GenBank genome assembly